GCGUGGAGACAGGUGGUGCAUGGCUGUCGUCAGCUCGUGUCGUGAGAUGUUGGGUUAAGUCCCGCAACGAGCGCAACCCUCACCUCUUGUUGCCAUCAGGUCAUGCUGGGCACUCUAGAGGAACUGCCCCGGUCAACGGGGAGGAAGGCGGGGAUGACGUCAAGUCAUCAUGCCCCUUACGUCCUGGGCUACACACGUGCUACAAUGGCCGGUACAAUGGGAUGCGACGCCGCGAGGUAGAGCUAAACCCAAAAAGCCGGUCUAAGUUCAGAUUGGAGUCUGCAACUCGACUCCAUGAAGGAGGAAUCGCUAGUAAUCGCGUAUCAGCACGACGCGGUGAAUACGUUCCCGGGCCUUGUACACACCGCCUGUCACACCACGAAAGCCAGCUGUACUCGAAGUCGCUGAG
This 409-nucleotide ribosomal RNA is filed under the name uncultured Methylomirabilota bacterium. RNAcentral's name for it is "bacterial SSU rRNA". It matches the Rfam family "Bacterial small subunit ribosomal RNA", at positions 1026 to 1434 of the family's 1533-position model. Lineage: Bacteria; Methylomirabilota (SeqCode). The record is from RNAcentral.